GGGGCUUUGAAACUCUGUAUAAUGACUUGAGCAUCUGAAGCUUCCAUUUUGCAUCCUGCACAAUGAGUGAAACUUUAUGUCCCAGGCCCAUGGCAAAGGUUAAAAAAAAAGAUGUGGACCCUGUUGAAGGCCUGAUGCAUCCCAUCCCUUGGCUUUUGGGGACAUUUAAUGCCUAUGCAUAGGGUCAACAUUUUCUGUUCUUAUUAUGAAAUGCUUGAAGUGUACAGGAAGCAGCCUUUGAGCAACUUAUGUGAAGAAUGUGAAGCCUUUAGAACCUCUGAAGGACUCACUGCAGAGCUUGUGACUCGUGCUUUGUAAGACCCCAUCAUGAAGGACAGGCGCACACUUGGGAAUGUCACAGAGGAGGUCUGAUGUGCAUCGGGUUAGAGAUGGGACGACAUCUGAAAGGAUAGGUAGGUAAGGGCAGAAACAGCAAAGCGGUUUCUCCUUUGGACAAAUUCCCUACCACUGAUGGCUACACCAUAGCUUUAACCGCCUCCACUG
This 504-nucleotide long non-coding RNA is filed under the name Cavia porcellus (domestic guinea pig). RNAcentral describes it as "lncRNA (ENSCPOG00000037469.1)". Lineage: Eukaryota; Metazoa; Chordata; Mammalia; Rodentia; Caviidae. The record is from RNAcentral.